GUAUUGCUGAAGAGUUUCAAAACUAGGACGAAACAGCUGUCCAGUAC
Molecule: non-coding RNA, 47 nt
Filed under: Trichobilharzia regenti
Lineage: Eukaryota; Metazoa; Platyhelminthes; Trematoda; Strigeidida; Schistosomatidae
Source: RNAcentral